Suricata suricatta (meerkat) is the source of this 301-nucleotide long non-coding RNA. RefSeq lists it as uncharacterized. The record is from RefSeq and is a predicted model, not a curated record. NCBI's taxonomy places the organism in Eukaryota, Metazoa, Chordata, Mammalia, Carnivora, Herpestidae. The transcript has 2 exons.
CCUGGCCGGGGGCGGUGCGGGGGCCGGGCUCCAGGUCCCGGCGCCUCCGCAGGGGCCUGGCCGUGCCGAGCCGGUCCGGACGCAUGUUAGCAGGUGGGGUCCCGGUCCCUGGCCCCGGCGGUGGCUCCCUCCCGCCCCUGCGGAGGGCUCUCGCGGAGUGUGUACAAGAAACUUACUCCUUAUACUGACCGACUUCUACGACUACGCACAUGAUGAUAAGCGCAUGGAGAAAUGCAGCGUUUGGGAAGACCAGGCUGCACUCGGUUCAGAACAGAAAAUAAACUGAAGCUUAAUAAGGAAA